AGGAGUUGCUCUGCCUUGCUCGCUUUACCGCUGGCUAGGUGGGGAUGAGAAACCAGUUCUCGGGUCUCCCGGCUUCGGCUUGCUUGCCCUGUGGGUGAGUGGGCUGAGGUCGGGUGAGCCUUGCAGCCUGAGCCUGUCUGCUCGGUGCUGAUCACGCCAUGUCCGGCCUGGUCGGAGCCCUCGGCUCUCCAGGCUCGCUGGCGGCCCUCGGUGGGGUGCGGAUCGUGAUGAUGAUGAAUCUUCGUCGUCGUUGCCCUCCGUGUUCCGCCUUGGGUUUGAAUGUGCACCUGCCCCCCCCCCAGUGGAGGGUUGUGAAAAGGAAAUGAGAGAGGUGAUAGAGUUUCUUAACCGUGGUGCUUUGGUGAGGUGGAUGGUCGGCCCCUCUGGCUUCGUUUCGUUGCCGGUGUGGUCGGUGUUCCCCCUCUCCUUUGCUCCUGAACAAAGAAAAUAUCACACCGUACAGUGGAUCACUUGGCUCGGGGGUCGAUGAAGAACGCAGCUAGCUGCGAGUCGGAAUGUGAACUGCAGGACAUAUGGAGCAUCGACACUUUGAACGCACAUUGCGGACAUGGGCUUGUCCCCUGUCCAUGUCUGGCUCAGGGUCGGCUUUACAUCCAUCCAGCUUUAUUGCUGGCCUUGGGGUUUGUCUCCUCGGCUUCAGUGCUGAGGAGUCCCCCGAAGAUGUGCCGCCUGCCUAGCCGGAGGUGAGCUCCUUGCUGACUCUUGGGUGUGACUCUGCGUCUGCCUGGGUUGGCGAACUAAAAGGGGGCUUGCUUCUGGUGGUAGGCUUGCGGGAGGGGGGGUUUCUGGUUCCCCCGCCCGAACUGGGUGGCGAUGGACGGUUGGUUGGCUGGCUGGCCUCUCGUGUGGCUGGCUGGCUGGCCACCCUUCUUCGCUGCCUUGCUGUUU
This 909-nucleotide ribosomal RNA is filed under the name Sinergasilus polycolpus. RNAcentral describes it as "eukaryotic LSU rRNA". The stretch from base 452 to 605 matches the Rfam family "5.8S ribosomal RNA". Lineage: Eukaryota; Metazoa; Arthropoda; Copepoda; Poecilostomatoida; Ergasilidae. The record is from RNAcentral.